RNAcentral lists this ribosomal RNA (277 nucleotides) under uncultured bacterium. RNAcentral describes it as "partial 16S ribosomal RNA". It matches the Rfam family "Bacterial small subunit ribosomal RNA", at positions 506 to 784 of the family's 1533-position model. The record is from RNAcentral.
UGCCAGCAGCCGCGGUAAUACGGAGGGUCCAAGCGUUAUCCGGAUUUAUUGGGUUUAAAGGGUGCGCAGGCGGAACUUUAAGUCAGUGGUAAAGGCAGUAGCUUAACUAUUGUAAGCCAUUGAAACUGGGUUUCUUGAGUUCGGUAGAGGUAGGCGGAAUGUGUUGUGUAGCGGUGAAAUGCAUAGAUAUAACACAGAACACCGAUUGCGAAGGCAGCUUACUAUGCCGUUACUGACGCUAAGGCACGAAAGCGUGGGUAUCAAACAGGAUUAGAUA